Molecule: ribosomal RNA, 497 nt
Filed under: uncultured bacterium
Lineage: Bacteria
Description: partial 16S ribosomal RNA
Rfam family: Bacterial small subunit ribosomal RNA
Source: RNAcentral
GACGAACGCUGGCGGCGUGCCUAAUACAUGCAAGUUGAGCGCUGAAGGUUGGUACUUGUACCAACUGGAUGAGCAGCGAACGGGUGAGUAACGCGUGGGGAAUCUGCCUUUGAGCGGGGGACAACAUUUGGAAACGAAUGCUAAUACCGCAUAAAAACUUUAAACACAAGUUUUAAGUUUGAAAGAUGCAAUUGCAUCACUCAAAGAUGAUCCCGCGUUGUAUUAGCUAGUUGGUGAGGUAAAGGCUCACCAAGGCGAUGAUACAUAGCCGACCUGAGAGGGUGAGCGGCCACAUUGGGACUGAGACACGGCCCAAACUCCUACGGGAGGCAGCGGUAGGGAAUCUUCGGCAAUGGACGAAAGUCUGACCGAGCAACGCCGCGUGAGUGAAGAAGGUUUUCGGAUCGUAAAACUCUGUUGGUAGAGAAGAACGUUGGUGAGAGUGGAAAGCUCAUCAAGUGACGGUAACUACCCAGAAAGGGACGGCUAACUACGUG